This 966-nucleotide ribosomal RNA is filed under the name uncultured bacterium. Its description in RNAcentral is "bacterial SSU rRNA". It matches the Rfam family "Bacterial small subunit ribosomal RNA", at positions 28 to 1030 of the family's 1533-position model. The record is from RNAcentral.
AACGAACGCUUGCUGCAUGCUUUAUACAUGCAAGUCGAACGAAGGCCCUAGCUUGCUAGGUGUCCUUAGUGGCGCACGGGUGAGUAACACGUGGGAACAUACCUCAUAGUACGGAAUAACUGCGGGAAACUGUAGCUAAUACCGUAUAUUCCAGAAAUGGGAAAGAUUUAUCGCUAUGAGAUUGGCCCGCGCAAGAUUAGCUUGUUGGUAAGGUAACGGCUUACCAAGGCUCCGAUCUUUAGCUGGUUUGAGAGGAUGAUCAGCCACACUGGGACUGAGACACGGCCCAGACUCCUACGGGAGGCAGCAGUAGGGAAUAUUGGACAAUGGGGGAAACCCUGAUCCAGCAAUGCAGCGUGAGUGACGAAGGCCUUAGGGUUGUAAAACUCUUUCAUCGGUGAGGAUAAUGACAGUAGCCGAAGGAGAAGGACCGGCUAAUUCCGUGCCAGCAGCCGCGGUAAUACGGAAGGUCCUAGCGUUGUUCGGAAUUACUGGGCGUAAAGCGCAUGUAGGCGGAACAAAAAGUUAGAAGUGAAAUCCCUGGGCUCAACCUAGGAAUUGCUUUUAAAACUUUUGUUCUGGAAUUCAGGAGAGGAAAAUGGAAUUUCCAGUGUAGAGGUGAAAUUCGUAGAUAUUGGAAGGAACACCAGUGGCGAAGGCGAUUUUCUGGACUGAUAUUGACGCUGAGAUGCGAAGGCAUGGGUAGCAAACGGGAUUAGAUACCCCGGUAGUCCAUGCAGUAAACGAUGGGUGCUAGUCGUCGGACUUUUGUUCGGUGUCGUAGCUAACGCGUUAAGCACCCCGCCUGGGGAGUACGGUCGCAAGAUUAAAACUCAAAUAAAUUGACGGGGACCCGCACAAGCAGUGGAGCAUGUGGUUUAGUUCGACGCAACGCGAAGAACCUUACCAGCGUUUGACAUGGGAAGUGCCGGUUACAGAAUGGUAACCUUCAGUUCGGCUGGCUUC